Molecule: ribosomal RNA, 204 nt
Filed under: uncultured Leptolinea sp.
Lineage: Bacteria; Bacillati; Chloroflexota; Anaerolineae; Anaerolineales; Anaerolineaceae
Description: partial 16S ribosomal RNA
Rfam family: Bacterial small subunit ribosomal RNA
Source: RNAcentral
AGUGAUGUCAAGUCAGCAUGGCCUUUAUAUCCUGGGCUACACACACGCUACAAUGGCCAACACAAUAGGUUGCUAAGCCGCGAGGUGGCGCCAAUCCAUAAAGUUGGUCUCAGUUCAGAUUGUAGGCUGCAACCCGCCUGCAUGAAGAUGGAGUUGCUAGUAACCGCAGGUCAGCUAUACUGCGGUGAAUACGUUCCCGGGCUU